RNAcentral lists this ribosomal RNA (433 nucleotides) under uncultured bacterium. RNAcentral describes it as "partial 16S ribosomal RNA". It matches the Rfam family "Bacterial small subunit ribosomal RNA", at positions 29 to 507 of the family's 1533-position model. The record is from RNAcentral.
AGCGAACGCUGGCGGCAGGCCUAACACAUGCAAGUCGAACGAACUCUUCGGAGUUAGUGGCGGACGGGUGAGUAACACGUGGGAACGUGCCUUUAGGUUCGGAAUAACUCAGGGAAACUUGUGCUAAUACCGAAUGUGCCCUUCGGGGGAAAGAUUUAUCGCCUUUAGAGCGGCCCGCGUCUGAUUAGCUAGUUGGUGAGGUAAAGGCUCACCAAGGCGACGAUCAGUAGCUGGUCUGAGAGGAUGAUCAGCCACAUUGGGACUGAGACACGGCCCAAACUCCUACGGGAGGCAGCAGUGGGGAAUCUUGCGCAAUGGGCGAAAGCCUGACGCAGCCAUGCCGCGUGAAUGAUGAAGGUCUUAGGGCUGUAAAAUUCUUUCACCGGGGACGAUAAUGACGGUACCCGGAGAAGAAGCCCCGGCUAACUUCGUG